This 72-nucleotide transfer RNA is filed under the name Bos taurus (domestic cattle). It matches the Rfam family "tRNA". From Rfam's summary of the family: Transfer RNA (tRNA) molecules are approximately 80 nucleotides in length. Their secondary structure includes four short double-helical elements and three loops (D, anti-codon, and T loops). Lineage: Eukaryota; Metazoa; Chordata; Mammalia; Artiodactyla; Bovidae. The record is from Rfam by way of RNAcentral. RNAcentral also lists the same sequence under 5 other names.
UCCCUGGUGGUUCAGGGGUUAGGACACAGCGCUUUCACUGCAGUGGCCUGGGUUCAAUCCCUGGUCUGGGAA